Triticum aestivum (bread wheat) is the source of this 609-nucleotide long non-coding RNA. RefSeq lists it as uncharacterized. The record is from RefSeq and is a predicted model, not a curated record. NCBI's taxonomy places the organism in Eukaryota, Viridiplantae, Streptophyta, Magnoliopsida, Poales, Poaceae. The transcript is spliced from 2 exons.
UCAAAUUGUACUCUGUUUGUUUCUCUCCUACUCUUUUCUGACAAAUGUUAUUAUCUGUGCUUCAUUACUACUCUCUCUAAAUCAUGUGAGAGUUGAAUGAUGUUGCAGGAUAACUAUUGAUGGUGAAAAGAUUGUUGUUUUUUAUAUUGGUAUAGGGGGGGUAUAAUACAAAUGGUCCUUCAAAUCCAGUUGGAAGCUCCUCCCUGUAAUUGAUGAAGGCAGGAUUUACUAUUUCUAGGGAGUAAGAGGUUUAUUUGUUGAACCAUGAUAUCUAAGGGAGUAAGAGGCAACGUCCAGGGGUAUCUAAGAGAGCUGGUCCAGGCUUGAUGGAAAUCGCUUAGUACAUUCAUGGGAUCACAAACUUUUGGCGUUGGUUGAGAUUAGUGACGCAGGACCAUUAAUAACUAGAAGACUGUGACAAUUAACUUACUGUUUCAUGAAUUAGAGAGGCUGGGUUGGACCAACUCCAUGUUACAGGCCCUUUCCUCAUUGCAUUUCUCUUGACAUUAAAUUGAUUAAAUUAUAAUUUCAGUAGGAAAUCUACAACAUACUCAGAUCAUUAUGAUUACUCUUUCCUGUUUUUGUUUCUAUAUCUAAUUGAUAUAUAGA